RNAcentral lists this ribosomal RNA (725 nucleotides) under uncultured Bacteroidales bacterium. RNAcentral's name for it is "bacterial SSU rRNA". It matches the Rfam family "Bacterial small subunit ribosomal RNA", at positions 50 to 764 of the family's 1533-position model. The record is from RNAcentral. Lineage: Bacteria; Pseudomonadati; Bacteroidota; Bacteroidia; Bacteroidales.
AACACAUGCAAGUCGAGGGGCAGCAUGGUCUUAGCUUGCUAAGGCCGAUGGCGACCGGCGCACGGGUGAGUAACACGUAUCCAACCUGCCGUCUACUCUUGGACAGCCUUCUGAAAGGAAGAUUAAUACAAGAUGGCAUCAUGAGUCCGCAUGUUCACAUGAUUAAAGGUAUUCCGGUAGACGAUGGGGAUGCGUUCCAUUAGAUAGUAGGCGGGGUAACGGCCCACCUAGUCUUCGAUGGAUAGGGGUUCUGAGAGGAAGGUCCCCCACAUUGGAACUGAGACACGGUCCAAACUCCUACGGGAGGCAGCAGUGAGGAAUAUUGGUCAAUGGGCGAGAGCCUGAACCAGCCAAGUAGCGUGAAGGAUGACUGCCCUAUGGGUUGUAAACUUCUUUUAUAAAGGAAUAAAGUCGGGUAUGUAUACCCGUUUGCAUGUACUUUAUGAAUAAGGAUCGGCUAACUCCGUGCCAGCAGCCGCGGUAAUACGGAGGAUCCGAGCGUUAUCCGGAUUUAUUGGGUUUAAAGGGAGCGUAGAUGGAUGUUUAAGUCAGUUGUGAAAGUUUGCGGCUCAACCGUAAAAUUGCAGUUGAUACUGGAUAUCUUGAGUGCAGUUGAGGCAGGCGGAAUUCGUGGUGUAGCGGUGAAAUGCUUAGAUAUCACGAAGAACUCCGAUUGCGAAGGCAGCCUGCUAAGCUGCAACUGACAUUGAGGCUCGAAAGUGUGG